Molecule: ribosomal RNA, 496 nt
Filed under: uncultured bacterium
Lineage: Bacteria
Description: partial 16S ribosomal RNA
Rfam family: Bacterial small subunit ribosomal RNA
Source: RNAcentral
AUGAACGCUGGCGGCGUGCCUCAUACAUGCCAGUCGAGCGAACAGAUGAGGAGCUUGCUCCUCUGACGUUAGCGGCGGACGGGUGAGUAACACGUGGAUAACCUACCUAUAAGACUGGGAUAACUUCGGGAAACCGGAGCUAAUACCGGAUAAUAUAUUGAACCGCAUGGUUCAAUAGUGAAAGACGGUUUUGCUGUCACUUAUAGAUGGAUCCGCGCCGCAUUAGCUAGUUGGUAAGGUAACGGCUUACCAAGGCAACGAUGCGUAGCCGACCUGAGAGGGUGAUCGGCCACACUGGAGCUGGGACACGGUCCAGACUCCUACGGGAGGCAGCAGUAGGGAAUCUUCCGCAAUGGGCGAAAGCCUGACGGAGCAACGCCGCGUGAGUGAUGAAGGUCUUCGGAUCGUAAAACUCUGUUAUUAGGGAAGAACAAAUGUGUAAGUAACUAUGCACGUCUUGACGGUACCUAAUCAGAAAGCCACGGCUAACUACGUG